Non-coding RNA from Podarcis lilfordi (Lilford's wall lizard), 78 nucleotides. NCBI's taxonomy places the organism in Eukaryota, Metazoa, Chordata, Lepidosauria, Squamata, Lacertidae. The record is from the annotation of a GenBank genome assembly.
AGCCCUGAGUGAUAGCUCAGUCGGUAGAGCAUAAGAAUCUUAAUCUCAGGGUUGUGGGUUUGAGUCUCACGUUGGCUG